Homalodisca vitripennis (glassy-winged sharpshooter) is the source of this 196-nucleotide long non-coding RNA. RefSeq lists it as uncharacterized. NCBI's taxonomy places the organism in Eukaryota, Metazoa, Arthropoda, Insecta, Hemiptera, Cicadellidae. The transcript has 3 exons. The record is from RefSeq and is a predicted model, not a curated record.
CCAGGGGCAGCACUAGUCAUUCAAUGUUUUGGUUUACAAACAGAACAACAGAAAGAGGUUAGGUGAAGUGUGGUUUGUGUAACUUAGUGCUUAUUUUAUUUAAAAAAUUCAGGUUCUUGGGGUUUUUUGUCCCAUCUUGCGUACAUGAUUUUAUUACCCAGGCCCAUGUGUAUCAUAUUUUUACACACUUCAUAAA